GCCCUUAAUGUGUUUACCAUUUGAAAACAGUUGUCAAUGCAAAAUUACAUACGUAUGUGCAAGCCACACUUGGCAAGAAAAACAGAUUUUGAAAGUGACUGAGAUCAACUAAAACCUGUUUAUAUUUUAUGCUUCUGAUUGACAUGUUUAUGACUGUGAACAUGCUGCUGUCACCGUUACUUCCCAUAUGAUAUGAAUGCAUACCAGUCUCUAAAGAAAGUCUGAAAACAGGUUUAUGUCUCAA
Long non-coding RNA from Thalassophryne amazonica, 244 nucleotides. RefSeq lists it as uncharacterized. NCBI's taxonomy places the organism in Eukaryota, Metazoa, Chordata, Actinopteri, Batrachoidiformes, Batrachoididae. The record is from RefSeq and is a predicted model, not a curated record. The transcript has 2 exons.